RNAcentral lists this ribosomal RNA (161 nucleotides) under uncultured bacterium. RNAcentral describes it as "partial 16S ribosomal RNA". It matches the Rfam family "Bacterial small subunit ribosomal RNA", at positions 1340 to 1500 of the family's 1533-position model. The record is from RNAcentral.
AAUCGCAGAUCAGCAUGCUGCGGUGAAUACGUUCCCGGGCCUUGUACACACCGCCCGUCACACCAUGGGAGUCGGAAAUGCCCGAAGUCUGUGACCCAACCUUAGGGAGGGAGCAGCCGAAGGCAGGUCGGAUGACUGGGGUGAAGUCGUAACAAGGUAAC